Molecule: ribosomal RNA, 1968 nt
Filed under: human gut metagenome
Description: bacterial LSU rRNA
Rfam family: Bacterial large subunit ribosomal RNA
Source: RNAcentral
GAAAGUAUGCAAGGGCGUACGGGGGAUGCCUAGGCUUAUGGAGGCGAUGAAGGACGUGUUAAGCUGCGAAAAGCGCCGGGGAUCUGCAAAAAAGAAUCGAUCCGGCGAUAUCCGAAUGGGGCAACCCGUCAGUCUGAAGGACUGUCGUUCCGAGUAAUCGGAGAGCCAACCCGCUGAACUGAAACAUCUAAGUAGGCGGAGGAAAAGAAAGAAAACUCGAUUCCCUUAGUAGCGGCGAGCGAAGAGGGAAUAGCCCAAACCAUGUAUGUUACGGCAUAUAUGGGGUUGUAGGACCACGACAUGACUUGGACAACGAACUGGAAGGUACUGGAAAGUGCCACCGCAGAGGGUGAAAGUCCCGUACAGGUAAGUUAGUUCAACGAUAGUGGUAUCCUGAGUAGGGCGGGACACGUGAAAUCCUGUCUGAAUCCGCGGGGACCACCCCGCAAGGCUAAAUACUCCCAUAAGACCGAUAGUGAACCAGUACCGUGAGGGAAAGGUGAAAAGUACCCCGAACAGGGGGGUGAAAAAGAACCUGAAACCGUACGCCUACAACCUGUCGGAGCCCCUUCGUGGGGUGACGGCGUGCCUUUUGCAUAAUGAGCCUACGAGUUACUCAUGACCGGCGAGGUUAAGAUUCCGAAGGAUCGAAGCCGAAGCGAAAGCGAGUCUGAACAGGGCGCUAUAGUCGGUUGUGGUAGACGCGAAACCUUGCGAUCUACCCUUGGCCAGGAUGAAGGUGAGGUAGAACUCACUGGAGGUCCGCACCGGUAAACGUUGAAAAGUUUUCGGAUGAGCUGAGGGUAGGGGUGAAAGGCUAAUCAAGCUGGGAAAUAGCUCGUACUCCCCGAAAUGCCUUUAGGGGCAGCGUUGACGUAGUAUACUGGAGGUAGAGCUACUGAUUGGAUGCGGGGGCUUCACCGCCUACCAAAUCCUGACAAACUCCGAAUGCCAGUAGAAUGAUUUAGAGCAGUGAGCGGCUGGGUGCUAAUGUCCGGCCACGAGAGAGGAACAACUCAGACCAGCAGCUAAGGCCCCGAAGAGUAUACUAAGUUGAACUAACGAUGUGCGACUGCAGCGACAGCUAGGAUGUUAGCUUGGAAGCAGCUAUUCAUUUAAAGAGUGCGUAACAGCUCACUAGUCGAGCGGUUGUGCGUGGAUAAUAAACGGGCAUCAAGCGUAUUGCCGAAGCUUUGGACUCCGCACAGGAGUGGUAGGGGAGCAUUCUGCCGGCGUCGAAGCGGAUUCGUAAGGAUCCGUGGAGCUUGCAGAAAAGCAAAUGUAGGCAUAAGUAACGAUAAGGCAGGCGAGAAACCUGCCCGCCGCAAGACCAAGGUUUCCUGAUCAACGUUAAUCGGAUCAGGGUUAGUCGGGCCCUAAGGGCCAGCCGAAAGGCGAUGCUCGAUGGACAAUCGGUUAAUAUUCCGAUACCCUCUUAAUUGGCGAUGGAGAGACGAAGGAGCGUAAGAUCCGCCUACUGACGGAAUAGUAGGUUGAAGGCCGUAGGUAUAGAGUGAGGUUAAUAGCUUCACUUUGCUGAGAGCCGACAGUACAGAGACCCUUCGGGGAAUUUGAUAGCGAUCCCAAGCAUGCUUCCGAGAAAAUCUUCUAAGCAUAACAGUUAAGAGGCCCGUACCGUAAACCGACACAGGUGGUCGAGGAGAGUAUCCUCAGGCGCUCGAGUGAGUCACGGUUAAGGAACUAGGCAAAAUGACCCCGUAACUUCGGGAGAAGGGGUCCUCGCAGCGAUGCGAGGCGCAGCGAAAAGGUCCAGGCGACUGUUUAACAAAAACACAGGGCUAUGCAAAUUCGAAAGACGACGUAUAUGGCCUGACACCUGCCCGGUGCCGGAAGGUUAAGAGGGGAUGUCAUUCGCAAGAAGAAGCAUUGAAUCGAAGCCCCGGUAAACGGCGGCCGUAACUAUAACGGUCCUAAGGUAGCGAAAUUCCUUGUCGGGUAAGUUCCGAC